This 507-nucleotide ribosomal RNA is filed under the name uncultured bacterium. RNAcentral describes it as "partial 16S ribosomal RNA". It matches the Rfam family "Bacterial small subunit ribosomal RNA", at positions 28 to 523 of the family's 1533-position model. The record is from RNAcentral.
GACGAACGCUGGCGGCGUGCUUAACACAUGCAAGUCGAACGAGAAAGCCCUUCGGGGUAAGUACAGUGGCGAACGGGUGAGUAACACGUGGGCAACCUGCCCCAGAGAGCGGGACAACCCGGGGAAACCCGGGCUAAUACCGCAUGAUGCGUCUCCACUUAAGUGGAGCCGCCAAAUGGUAGCUUCGGCCUCCGCUCUGGGAUGGGCCCGCGCCGGAUUAGCUAGUUGGUUGGGGUAACGGCCCACCAAGGCGACGAUCCGUAGCUGGUCUGAGAGGACGACCAGCCACACUGGGACUGAGACACGGCCCAGACUCCUACGGGAGGCAGCAGUGGGGAAUCUUGCGCAAUGGGCGAAAGCCUGAUGCAGCAACGCCGCGUGGGGGAAGAAGGCCUUCGGGUUGUAAACCUCUUUCAGUAGGGACGAAGCUUCCGGGGUUAAUAGCCUACGGGGUGACGGUACCUACAGAAGAAGCCCCGGCUAACUACGUGCCAGCAGCCGCAGUAA